GCACCUGUAGCUCAGGGGAUAGAGCACCGGAUUCCUAAUCCGGGUGUCGCAGGUUCGAUUCCUGCCAGGUGUACCA
This 76-nucleotide transfer RNA is filed under the name Bacillota bacterium. Its description in RNAcentral is "Firmicutes bacterium (anaerobic digester metagenome) tRNA-Arg". It matches the Rfam family "tRNA". Rfam says of the family: Transfer RNA (tRNA) molecules are approximately 80 nucleotides in length. Their secondary structure includes four short double-helical elements and three loops (D, anti-codon, and T loops). Further hydrogen bonds mediate the characteristic L-shaped molecular structure. tRNAs have two regions of fundamental functional importance: the anti-codon, which is responsible for specific mRNA codon recognition, and the 3' end, to which the tRNAs corresponding amino acid is attached (by aminoacyl-tRNA synthetases). tRNAs cope with the degeneracy of the genetic code in two manners: having more than one tRNA (with a specific anti-codon) for a particular amino acid; and 'wobble' base-pairing, i.e. permitting non-standard base-pairing at the 3rd anti-codon position. Lineage: Bacteria; Bacillati; Bacillota. RNAcentral also lists the same sequence under 1 other name. The record is from RNAcentral.